GGAGAUAGUUAAGGAACGGUGUCCUGGCUGGACGUGUGUGAUCGUGUCUCCGCCCUCCCUACAGUAACGUAAAGUGACGAGAAGCUUCAAACAGACCCUGAACGUGUUUGAUCGAGAAAAUAUAUACUCGCAUCAUCAC
Molecule: long non-coding RNA, 139 nt
Organism: Eriocheir sinensis (Chinese mitten crab)
Lineage: Eukaryota; Metazoa; Arthropoda; Malacostraca; Decapoda; Varunidae
Exons: 2
Source: RefSeq, a predicted model, not a curated record